CACGCAGGCGGUCUAUUAAGUCAGAUGUGAAAGUUUGCAGCUUAACUGUAAAAGUGCAUCUGAUACUGGUAGACUUGAGUCUCGGAGAGGUAAGCGGAAUUCCUAGUGUAGCGGUGAAAUGCGUAGAGAUUAGGAAGAACACCGGUGGCGAAGGCGGCUUACUGGACGAGUACUGACGCUCAGGUGCGAAAGCGUGGGGAGCAAACAG
Molecule: ribosomal RNA, 208 nt
Filed under: uncultured bacterium
Lineage: Bacteria
Description: partial 16S ribosomal RNA
Rfam family: Bacterial small subunit ribosomal RNA
Source: RNAcentral